Molecule: ribosomal RNA, 253 nt
Filed under: uncultured bacterium
Lineage: Bacteria
Description: partial 16S ribosomal RNA
Rfam family: Bacterial small subunit ribosomal RNA
Source: RNAcentral
UACAGAGGGGGCAAGCGUUAUUCGGAAUUAUUGGGCGUAAAGGGCGCGUAGGCGGCUUUGCAAGUGACGGGUGAAAUCCCUCGGCUUAACCGGGGAACUGCGUCUGAUACUGGAUGGCUAGAGGUUGGGAGAGGGAUGCGGAAUUCCAGGUGUAGCGGUGAAAUGCGUAGAUAUCUGGAGGAACACCGGUGGCGAAGGCGGCAUCCUGGACCAAUUCUGACGCUGAGGAGCGAAAGCCAGGGGAGCAAACGGG